RNAcentral lists this ribosomal RNA (42 nucleotides) under Globisporangium ultimum. RNAcentral's name for it is "partial 28S ribosomal RNA". The record is from RNAcentral. Lineage: Eukaryota; Oomycota; Peronosporomycetes; Pythiales; Pythiaceae.
UUGGACCUGAUAUCAGACAAGACUACCCGCUGAACUUAGCAU